Molecule: ribosomal RNA, 303 nt
Filed under: uncultured bacterium
Lineage: Bacteria
Description: bacterial SSU rRNA
Rfam family: Bacterial small subunit ribosomal RNA
Source: RNAcentral
CUCAAAUGAAUUGACGGGGGCCCGCACAAGCGGAGGAACAUGUGGUUUAAUUCGAUGAUACGCGAGGAACCUUACCCGGGCUUGAAUUGCAGAGGAACAUAGUUGAAAGAUUAUGGCCGCAAGGUCUCUGUGAAGGUGCUGCAUGGUUGUCGUCAGCUCGUGCCGUGAGGUGUCGGCUUAAGUGCCAUAACGAGCGCAACCCUUAUCAUUAGUUACUAACAGGUCAUGCUGAGGACUCUAGUGAGACUGCCGUCGUAAGAUGUGAGGAAGGUGGGGAUGACGUCAAAUCAUCACGGCCCUUAC